AAGUGGAUAGUGAAAUCUGGUGGCUCAACCAUUCAGACUAUUAUCCAAACUGGCAAGCUCGAGAAUGGUAGAGGUAGCUGGAAUUUCUAGUGUAGGAGUGAAAUCCGUAGAUAUUAGAAGGAACACCAAUGGCGUAGGCAGGCUACUGGACCAUUUCUGACGCUGAGGCACGAAAGCGUGGGGAGCGAACCGGAUUAGAUACCCGGGUAGUCCACGCCGUAAACGAUGGAUACUA
RNAcentral lists this ribosomal RNA (235 nucleotides) under uncultured Candidatus Saccharibacteria bacterium. Its description in RNAcentral is "partial 16S ribosomal RNA". It matches the Rfam family "Bacterial small subunit ribosomal RNA", at positions 585 to 818 of the family's 1533-position model. The record is from RNAcentral. Lineage: Bacteria; Candidatus Saccharimonadota.